CCUGCACGAAUGGCGUAAUGAUGGCCAGGCUGUCUCCACCCGAGACUCAGUGAAAUUGAACUCGCUGUGAAGAUGCAGUGUACCCGCGGCAAGACGGAAAGACCCCGUGAACCUUUACUAUAGCUUGACACUGAACAUUGAGCCUUGAUGUGUAGGAUAGGUGGGAGGCUUUGAAGUGUGGACGCCAGUCUGCAUGGAGCCGACCUUGAAAUACCACCCUUUAAUGUUUGAUGUUCUAACGUGGACCCGUGAUCCGGGUUGCGGACAGUGUCUGGUGGGUAGUUUGACUGGGGCGGUCUCCUCCUAAAGAGUAACGGAGGAGCACGAAGGUUGGCUAAUCCUGGUCGGACAUCAGGAGGUUAGUGCAAUGGCAUAAGCCAGCUUGACUGCGAGCGUGACGGCGCGAGCAGGUGCGAAAGCAGGUCAUAGUGAUCCGGUGGUUCUGAAUGGAAGGGCCAUCGCUCAACGGAUAAAAGGUACUCCGGGGAUAACAGGCUGAUACCGCCCAAGAGUUCAUAUCGACGGCGGUGUUUGGCACCUCGAUGUCGGCUCAUCACAUCCUGGGGCUGAAGUAGGUCCCAAGGGUAUGGCUGUUCGCCAUUUAAAGUGGUACGCGAGCUGGGUUUAGAACGUCGUGAGACAGUUCGGUCCCUAUCUGCCGUGGGCGCUGGAGAACUGAGGGGGGCUGCUCCUAGUACGAGAGGACCGGAGUGGACGCAUCACUGGUGUUCGGGUUGUCAUGCCAAUGGCACUGCCCGGUAGCUAAAUGCGGAAGAGAUAAGUGCUGAAAGCAUCUAAGCACGAAACUUGCCCCGAGAUGAGUUCUCCC
RNAcentral lists this ribosomal RNA (829 nucleotides) under Salmonella enterica subsp. enterica serovar Anatum. RNAcentral's name for it is "partial 23S ribosomal RNA". It matches the Rfam family "Bacterial large subunit ribosomal RNA", at positions 1987 to 2815 of the family's 2925-position model. The record is from RNAcentral. Lineage: Bacteria; Pseudomonadati; Pseudomonadota; Gammaproteobacteria; Enterobacterales; Enterobacteriaceae.